CGCAACCCUUACGUCCUUACGUUACCUACGCACGUUAUAGGUGGGCACUCUAAGGAGACUGCCGGUGACAAACCGGAGGAAGGUGGGGAUGACGUCAAGUCAUCAUGGCCCUUACGGCCUGGGCUACACACGUGCUACAAUGGUCGGUACAAAGGGUUGCCAAGCCGCGAGGUGGAGCUAAUCCCAUAAAACCGAUCGUAGUCCGGAUCGCAGUCUGCAACUCGACUGCGUGAAGUCGGAAUCGCUAGUAAUCGUGAAUCAGAAUGUCACGGUGAAUACGUUCCCGGGCCUU
RNAcentral lists this ribosomal RNA (292 nucleotides) under uncultured Pseudomonas sp. RNAcentral's name for it is "partial 16S ribosomal RNA". It matches the Rfam family "Bacterial small subunit ribosomal RNA", at positions 1097 to 1382 of the family's 1533-position model. The record is from RNAcentral. Lineage: Bacteria; Pseudomonadati; Pseudomonadota; Gammaproteobacteria; Pseudomonadales; Pseudomonadaceae.